This 1046-nucleotide unclassified non-coding RNA is filed under the name Hevea brasiliensis (rubber tree). The record is from RNAcentral. Lineage: Eukaryota; Viridiplantae; Streptophyta; Magnoliopsida; Malpighiales; Euphorbiaceae.
CGACAUCUUAACCCCAAUUGGUUUCUUGGCGAGCACUGAUAAUACCAAAAUCACUAAGUCUUCCACAGAAUUACAAUACAGUAGUAGUCCAUUACAACACUCCUGUACAGGAGUUUUAGAUACAUAGAGCGGCUUGCACUCACCAUUAUGAACCAAAGUAGCAUCAAACUGAAUGAAUUCCCCUCGCACCCAACAUACUGGGUACUGGGUGCUAAGUUUGAUUUCCUCAUUAUCAUGCAAGCCAUCCAGGCAAGUAACUACUUCCGCUCGGUCCUGGUCCUGAAGCAAUUGUUAUUUGAUCAGGAGGGUACCCAAUUUGUAGAGUGGGUUCACACUCCAAUGGAUGGAAGAAUCCGUUGCCCUGCGGCUGAGCUUGCUGCGCGGCGUAUCCAGCAGCAUGAACAUUGGCCUCCCAAACUUGCUGCUGAUUCGCAUGGCUAGUUUCCUCCAACCUUCUUCUGAGGCUCUUGUUAGCCUCACAGAGCAUUUGUUCCCUUCUUUGAAGAUCUGAGAGCUGAUCCAGCAUGAACUGGGUCCGAGUUGAUCGGAUUAACUUCAAAGAUGUGUCUAGUUGGCGCUCCAGUUGCUCGAGCUCCUUGGUGUUGAGGGGGCCUAAAUCCUCGCCUAGGAGAUUCCUUUGAGAUCGUUGUAAUGCUUCCACCUUUGCUUUAAGUUUCAAGUACUCCUGCUGACUAUUCUGAGUCUCCCUUGAAACUAUAUUUGUCUCAGGAGCUCCAUAAUUGCAUUUUUGGUACCUCUCAAGUGUCCUCAUCAUACUGGAAGUGCUGCUGAACUCGUACAGUUUCCCCCUGUUGGAGAAGAUGAUGAGCGCCACCUCCGCAUCGCACAGCACCGAGAGCUCAUACGCCUUCUUCAGCAGUCCGUUCCGCCGCUUAGCGAACGUGACCUGGCGGUUGAUCUUGUUCUCGAUCCGCUUCAGCUCCACUCUCCCCCGCCCCAUCCCCUCCUCUCCCAAUACAGAAAUUAAUCUCAACAAAAGUUGGGGGCAGUUGAAAACUGGAACAGAAGGAGGUGGAGCUCCUCUU